Ribosomal RNA from Ovis aries (sheep), 268 nucleotides. It matches the Rfam family "Eukaryotic small subunit ribosomal RNA", at positions 1189 to 1489 of the family's 1831-position model. The record is from Rfam. NCBI's taxonomy places the organism in Eukaryota, Metazoa, Chordata, Mammalia, Artiodactyla, Bovidae.
CUGAACUUACUUAAAAGAAAUAUCCAGUCACAGACAGGACUGACAGAUUGAGCUCUUUCUCCAUUCCAUGGAUGGUGGUGCAUGGCUAUUCCUGGUGGAGCAAUUUGUUUGGUUAAUUCUGAUAAUGAAAGAGACUCUGGCAUGCUAACUAGCUAGGCACCCCCUGAGCAGUUGGUGUCCCCCAGCUUCUUAGAAGGACACGUGGCAUUCAGCCGUCUGAGACUGAGUGCUAACAGGCAUCUGUGAUGCCCUUGGAUGUCUGGGGCUG